This is a long non-coding RNA of Mesocricetus auratus (golden hamster), 670 nucleotides long. RefSeq lists it as uncharacterized. The transcript is spliced from 2 exons. NCBI's taxonomy places the organism in Eukaryota, Metazoa, Chordata, Mammalia, Rodentia, Cricetidae. The record is from RefSeq and is a predicted model, not a curated record.
UACACAAGGGUUACCUGGUUACACACAAGGGUUUUCUUCCGUUCCCAUUGUUUGAGAAGGAAAGGGCGAUUAAUCUGAAUUGUAAUGGAAAAGGCAAACUACAGACUCAGACCACAAACAUUUAUACAAAAAUGCUUGUUCUUGGAGUCGAGGCCAGGGACCCUGUGGUGCUAAAUCCAGGCAAACCUCUGCUCUCUCCAGCGGACCUUCCCGGCAUGCACAGCAGGAGUGGACUGGAGGAAGAGGGAAUCUGACCAGCUGAAACACAGGUUCUGAAGCUUCUGUCAAGAGGCAGCAAUUUCUUGAGAUGAACAUCAGGGUUGCUUAUAUGUCAACAAACCUCUUGCUCAUGAAUCUGGGGACAAGUGGAGUGGCAUCACCUAGGAGCAUGCUGGUUCAGAGUCUUCCAUACAGCCCAGUCCCCAAAAGGUUCCUGUUUCCUUGGAAGCUCAGCCUCAGGCCCCCUCCUCCCCCAGAAAGCUGGCCAAGUAGAGGCUCCUCCCCUGGAGCUGCUCAAAACUGUGUCUACAGAGAAUUUAAGCUCGAGUCCCUAGACCAGCCAUACGAUUUCUCCUCCUUCCUGCCCUCACCCCCCCCCCCGUCUCAUCUCUGGGGGGCUUGAGAGUCACCCAGCAGUGCUUGGCUCAUUAAACCUGGACUUUUAGUUUAA